RNAcentral lists this microRNA precursor (65 nucleotides) under Chlorocebus sabaeus (green monkey). RNAcentral's name for it is "miRNA (ENSCSAG00000023424.1)". Lineage: Eukaryota; Metazoa; Chordata; Mammalia; Primates; Cercopithecidae. The record is from RNAcentral.
AGGUUGAUGCAAAAGUAAUCACGGUUUUUGCCACUAAAAAUGGCAAUUACUUUUGCACCAACUUA